Molecule: ribosomal RNA, 732 nt
Filed under: Triticum aestivum (bread wheat)
Lineage: Eukaryota; Viridiplantae; Streptophyta; Magnoliopsida; Poales; Poaceae
Description: partial small subunit ribosomal RNA
Source: RNAcentral
AUGUCAUGUUUCAGACUCCCUAGGGGACUAUGCGAAAGUGUGACUACACUUAUAAGACAAUUUUGGUGGGGAUCCAAAAGAGGGAAGAGGAAGCCUGCUUGAGUAUCUUGGGAUGUGAUGACAAAACCAAAGAACCUAAGUGGUCCGGGUUUUAAAGAUUUGGAAGUUUUUAAUCUGGCUCUUCUCUCACGACAAGCUUGGAGGUCUCUGAAUGAACCUAAUUCCUUGAGUUCUCGUAUCCUCAAGGCGGCGUAUUAUCAAAAUAGCUCUAUCUUCGAGGCAAAACUGGGAUCAAACCCUUCUCAGAUUUGGAGGGCAAUUGUCGAUGGUAGAGACAUAAUGAAACAUGGCGCUAUCAUGAGAAUUGGAGAUGGAAAGUCGACCCGCAUCUGGCAGCAUAACUGGACCCCGAGGGCUGGCAUGAUGAGACCGAUUUCGUCGCUGGUUCAGGACCCUCCACAAGUAGUGGCUGAUUUAAUUGAUCCCUCAUUAGCAUCUUGGAGAGAGGAUUUGAUCAGACAAGUGUUUGUUCCUAUGGAUGCCGAGGCUAUCUUGAGAAUACCCCUUUGUAACAGGCACGUACAUGACUUUUGGGUGUGGUCUGAGGACCCUAAAGGCCACUUUUCUGUCCGAACAGCAUACGACAUGAUCUAUCGUAUUAAGACUGGAAGAGAAGCCUGGUUAGAAGAGGACGAACAUACAUCUAAUCUGGAGGCUUGCCAUCGAAGUUGA